GCCCUUAUAGCACAGUGGUAGUGCGUUGCACUUGUAAUGCAAAGGUCCCAGGUUCAAUCCCUGGUGAGGGCA
Molecule: transfer RNA, 72 nt
Filed under: Rhizoctonia solani AG-1 IA
Lineage: Eukaryota; Fungi; Basidiomycota; Agaricomycetes; Cantharellales; Ceratobasidiaceae
Description: tRNA-Thr (TGT) (tRNA-Thr-TGT-1-1)
Rfam family: tRNA
About the family: Transfer RNA (tRNA) molecules are approximately 80 nucleotides in length.
Source: RNAcentral